UACGGGGGGGGCAAGCGUUGUUCGGAAUUAUUGGGCGUAAAGGGCUCGUAGGCGGUUUGUCGCGUCGGGAGUGAAAACACCGGGCUUAACUCGGUGCUUGCUUUCGAUACGGGCAGACUAGAGGCAUGCAGGGGAGAACGGAAUUCCUGGUGUAGCGGUGAAAUGCGCAGAUAUCAGGAGGAACACCGGUGGCGAAGGCGGUUCUCUGGGCAUGUCCUGACGCUGAGGAGCGAAAGUGUGGGGAGCGAACAGG
This 253-nucleotide ribosomal RNA is filed under the name uncultured bacterium. RNAcentral describes it as "partial 16S ribosomal RNA". It matches the Rfam family "Bacterial small subunit ribosomal RNA", at positions 524 to 776 of the family's 1533-position model. The record is from RNAcentral.